Molecule: ribosomal RNA, 534 nt
Filed under: Fusarium solani
Lineage: Eukaryota; Fungi; Ascomycota; Sordariomycetes; Hypocreales; Nectriaceae
Description: eukaryotic LSU rRNA
Rfam family: 5.8S ribosomal RNA (bases 173-326)
Source: RNAcentral
GAACCUGCGGAGGGAUCAUUACCGAGUUAUACAACUCAUCAACCCUGUGAACAUACCUAUAACGUUGCCUCGGCGGGAACAGACGGCCCCGUAACACGGGCCGCCCCCGCCAGAGGACCCCCUAACUCUGUUUCUAUAAUGUUUCUUCUGAGUAAACAAGCAAAUAAAUUAAAACUUUCAACAACGGAUCUCUUGGCUCUGGCAUCGAUGAAGAACGCAGCGAAAUGCGAUAAGUAAUGUGAAUUGCAGAAUUCAGUGAAUCAUCGAAUCUUUGAACGCACAUUGCGCCCGCCAGUAUUCUGGCGGGCAUGCCUGUUCGAGCGUCAUUACAACCCUCAGGCCCCCGGGCCUGGCGUUGGGGAUCGGCGGAAGCCCCCUGCGGGCACAACGCCGUCCCCCAAAUACAGUGGCGGUCCCGCCGCAGCUUCCAUUGCGUAGUAGCUAACACCUCGCAACUGGAGAGCGGCGCGGCCACGCCGUAAAACACCCAACUUCUGAAUGUUGACCUCGAAUCAGGUAGGAAUACCCGCUGAA